ACAACAUUCCGGCUGUCGGUCUACCGAGCAAUUUCACCAGCUCGGUGGAAGAUCUUCCCUUUGCCUU
Molecule: microRNA precursor, 67 nt
Filed under: Bombyx mori (domestic silkworm)
Lineage: Eukaryota; Metazoa; Arthropoda; Insecta; Lepidoptera; Bombycidae
Description: mir-2774 microRNA precursor family
Rfam family: mir-2774 microRNA precursor family
Source: Rfam by way of RNAcentral